AAUUAUUUAUUUGAUGGUUUCUUACUACAUGGAUAACUGUAGUAAUUCUAGAGCUAAUACAUGCGUAAAAUCUCGACUCUUGCGGGGAGAGAUGUAUUUAUUAGAUAAAAAACCAAUGCGGGUUCUGCCCGGUUUUGUGGUGAAUCAUAGUAACUUUUCGAAGCGCAUGGCUUCACGCCAGCGCUAGUUCAUUCAAAUUUCUGCCCUAUCAGCUUUCGACGGUAGUGUAGUGGACUACCGUGGCAUUAACGGGUAACGGAGAAUUAGGGUUCGAUUCCGGAGAGGGAGCCUGAGAAACGGCUACCACA
This 308-nucleotide ribosomal RNA is filed under the name uncultured eukaryote. RNAcentral describes it as "SSU rRNA". It matches the Rfam family "Eukaryotic small subunit ribosomal RNA", at positions 111 to 414 of the family's 1831-position model. The record is from RNAcentral.